This 482-nucleotide long non-coding RNA is filed under the name Coturnix japonica (Japanese quail). RNAcentral describes it as "lncRNA (ENSCJPG00005002294.1)". The record is from RNAcentral. Lineage: Eukaryota; Metazoa; Chordata; Aves; Galliformes; Phasianidae.
AUUAGUGCCAUUUUGGUUUCAAUUCCCCCCAUUUAGGGCCAUUUUGGGGCCAUUUCCCCCAAUUUAGGCCCAUUUUGGGCCCAUUUAAGGCCAUUUUGGGGCCAUAUUAACCCAUUUAGGGCCAUAUAACCCCUUUUAGGGCCAUUUUGGGGUCAAUUCCCCCCAUUUAGGGCCAUUUUGGGGUCAAUUCCCCCCAUUUAAGCCCAUUUUGGGGUCAAUUCCUCCCAUUUAGGCCCAUUUUGGGGCCAUAUAAACCCAUUUAGUCCCAUUUUGGCCCCAUUUAAGGCCAUUUUGGGGCCAUUUCUCCCCAUUUAAGCCCAUUUUGGGGCCAUUUCUCCCCAUUUAGGGCCAUUUUGGGCCCAUAUAAACCCAUUUUAAUCCCCUUUUCGGGCCAUUUGACCCUAUAUAUACAUACACUCCCCCCUGCGCCACGCCCCCAAAGUCUCCGGCUAAAUACGGCAAGGGGGGGGGGGGGACAGCAA